This 1401-nucleotide ribosomal RNA is filed under the name uncultured bacterium. Its description in RNAcentral is "16S ribosomal RNA". It matches the Rfam family "Bacterial small subunit ribosomal RNA", at positions 25 to 1398 of the family's 1533-position model. The record is from RNAcentral.
CAGGAAGAACGCUAGCCCCAGGCUUCACACACGCAAGUUCGCGGGGAAAACGACAUUCGAAGUCUCGCUUCGAACGGGCGUUCGACCGGCGCACGGGAGAGUCACGCGUCUCCAACCCGCCUCCGACUAAGGGAUAACCCGGCGAAAGUUCGGACUAAUACCUUACGAGGUUUUCUCGCAGACAUCUAAUCGAAAACGAAAGAAUUAUCGGUCAGUCGAUGGGGAUCGCGUCUGAUUAGCUUCGUUGGCGGGGUAACGGCCCACCAAGGCAACGAUCAGUAGGGGUUUCUGAGAGGAAGGUCCCCCACAUUCGGAACUGAGACACGGUCCAAACUCCUACGGGAGGCAGCAGUGAGGAAUAUUGGUCAAUGGACGGAAGUUCUGAACCAGCCCAAGUAGCGUGCAGGAUGACGGCCCUAUGGGUUCGUAAACUGCUUUUGUAUGGGGAUAAAGUUUAGGGACGUGUCCCUAUUUUGCAGGUACCAUACGAAUAAGGACCGGCUAAUUCCGUGCCAGCAGCCGCGGUAAUACGGGGAAGGUCCAGGCGUUUAUCCGGAUUUAUUGGGUUUAAAGGGAGCGUAGGCUGGAGAUUAAGUGUGUUGUGAAAUGUAGACGCUCAACGUCUGAAUUGCAGCGCAUACUGGUUUCCUUGAGUACGCACAACGUUGGCGGAAUUCGUCGUGUAGCGGUGAAAUGCUUAGAUAUGACGAAGAACUCCGAUUGCGAAGGCAGCUGACGGGAGCGCAACUGACGCUUAAGCUCGAAGGUGCGGGUAUCAAACAGGAUUAGAUACCCUGGUAGUCCGCACAGUAAACGAUGGAUGCCCGCUGUUGGUACCUGGUAUCAGCGGCUAAGCGAAAGCAUUAAGCAUCCCACCUGGGGAGUACGCCGGCAACGGUGAAACUCAAAGGAAUUGACGGGGGCCCGCACAAGCGGAGGAACAUGUGGUUUAAUUCGAUGAUACGCGAGGAACCUUACCCGGGCUUGAAUUGCAGAGGAAGGAUUUAGAGAUAAUGACGCCCUUCGGGGUCUCUGUGAAGGUGCUGCAUGGUUGUCGUCAGCUCGUGCCGUGAGGUGUCGGCUUAAGUGCCAUAACGAGCGCAACCCCUCUCUUCAGUUGCCAUCAGGUAAUGCUGGGCACUCUGGAGACACUGCCACCGUAAGGUGUGAGGAAGGUGGGGAUGACGUCAAAUCAGCACGGCCCUUACGUCCGGGGCUACACACGUGUUACAAUGGCCGGUACAGAGGGAUGGUGUAAUGCAAAUUGCAUCCAAUCUUAAAAGCCGGUCCCAGUUCGGACUGGGGUCUGCAACCCGACCCCACGAAGCUGGAUUCGCUAGUAAUCGCGCAUCAGCCAUGGCGCGGUGAAUACGUUCCCGGGCCUUGUACACACCGCCCGUC